UACGUUGCCGACGGUCCAGUGCAGCUUUCAUGUUCUGGGAGGGAGUCUGUUGGGAACUAUCGAGGAUACGGGAAGGCCGCAACCGCGCACGUAUUGUAAAAUAACUUCUUCUUGGGCAAGUUGGUGAUUACGGCAAACACAGAUUACAGUGCUGCACCAUAGGGCCAAGAAGAUGGCGUGUUUGCGUAUGGUGGUAGCUAUCAGUGCAAUCGCUCUGCAUUUAUGCCUGAUUUAUUCGGCAGUGGUGGAAGGAAAAGCGACAAAUAUGGCCAACAUGGGAAAGGUGAACGAUCCGUGCGAUGGCAAUAACCAGUGCGGUGCUGGAUUGUGCUGUGUGCGCCUCAAGCCUGAAGAUGGAACAGUGUGCCAAAAACUGGGUGAAAUGGGAGAUCGGUGCUCUAAUGUUACGCUUCAGGAACACACUGCAGUACCUUCCUGUCGAGCAGAUGUCGAAGCUGCAGGAGCAACAACACAGGUUUACACGCCUCCUUACGACGGAGCGUGCCCUUGCACUAAAGGU
Long non-coding RNA from Dermacentor silvarum, 520 nucleotides. RefSeq lists it as uncharacterized. Lineage: Eukaryota; Metazoa; Arthropoda; Arachnida; Ixodida; Ixodidae. The record is from RefSeq and is a predicted model, not a curated record. The transcript is spliced from 3 exons.